This 284-nucleotide unclassified non-coding RNA is filed under the name plant metagenome. RNAcentral's name for it is "partial contains small subunit ribosomal RNA, internal transcribed spacer 1, and 5.8S ribosomal RNA". The stretch from base 1 to 53 matches the Rfam family "Eukaryotic small subunit ribosomal RNA", at positions 1779 to 1831 of the family's 1831-position model. The record is from RNAcentral.
GGAGUAAAAGUCGUAACAAGGUUUCCGUAGGUGAACCUGCGGAAGGAUCAUUAUUGUAUAACCGAGGUGCGAGGGUUGUCGCUGACCCGAAAGGUCGUGCACGCCCGAGUGCCCUCACACACAUCCAUCUCACCCCUAUGUGCACCACCGCGUGGGUCCCCCUUUGGCUUGUUCGGAGGGGGGCUUACGUUUUCACACAAACUUUGUAUGCAGUGUAGAAUGUAUUUUUUGUUUUUGCGAUCACGCAAUCAAUACAACUUUCAACAACGGAUCUCUUGGCUCUC